UACGUAGGGUGCAAGCGUUGUCCGGAAUUAUUGGGCGUAAAGAGCUCGUAGGCGGUCUGUUGCGUCGGCUGUGAAAACCCGGGGCUCAACCCCGGGCCUGCAGCCGAUACGGGCAGACUAGAGUUCGGCAGGGGAGACUGGAAUUCCUGGUGUAGCGGUGAAAUGCGCAGAUAUCAGGAAGAACACCCGUGGCGAAGGCGGCUCACUGGCCCGAUACUGACGCUGAGGCACGAAAGCGUGGGGAGCAAACAGG
Molecule: ribosomal RNA, 253 nt
Filed under: uncultured bacterium
Lineage: Bacteria
Description: partial 16S ribosomal RNA
Rfam family: Bacterial small subunit ribosomal RNA
Source: RNAcentral